This 439-nucleotide ribosomal RNA is filed under the name uncultured bacterium. RNAcentral's name for it is "partial 16S ribosomal RNA". It matches the Rfam family "Bacterial small subunit ribosomal RNA", at positions 339 to 795 of the family's 1533-position model. The record is from RNAcentral.
CUACGGGACGCAGCAGUGAGGAAUAUUGCACAAUGGGGGGAACCCUGAUGCAGCAACGCCGCGUGGAGGAUGACGCAUUUCGGUGUGUAAACUCCUUUUAUAUGUCAAGAAAAUGACGGUAGCAUAUGAAUAAGCACCGGCUAACUCCGUGCCAGCAGCCGCGGUAAUACGGAGGGUGCAAGCGUUACUCGGAAUCACUGGGCGUAAAGGACGCGUAGGCGGGCUUGUAAGUCAGGUGUGAAAUCCUACAGCUUAGCUGUAGAACUGCACUUGAAACUUCUAAUCUAGAGUAUGGGAGGGGGAGAUGGAAUUAGUGGUGUAGGGGUAAAAUCCGUAGAUAUCACUAGGAAUACCUAAAGCGAAGGCGAUCUCCUGGAACAUUACUGACGCUAAGGCGUGAAAGCGUGGGGAGCAAACAGGAUUAGAUACCCCCGUAGUC